This 3327-nucleotide long non-coding RNA is filed under the name Salmo salar (Atlantic salmon). Its description in RNAcentral is "lncRNA (ENSSSAG00000089461.1)". Lineage: Eukaryota; Metazoa; Chordata; Actinopteri; Salmoniformes; Salmonidae. The record is from RNAcentral.
UGAACAGGAAGACUCACCCUGACCGCCAGCCAAUACCCAGAGUACAGGAUAUCAUGGACAGCCUUGGAGAAAAUUCCUGGUUUUCACCCUUGGAUCAGGGACAAGCAUAUCACUAGGGGUUCAUGGAAAAGGAAAGCAGCCUUUGUGACCCCAUCGAGCCUGUAUGAGUGGGUUUGUUUUCAGUAUGGACUCAUGGAUGCACCAACAGCCUUCCAGCGCUUAAUGGAGGAAUGUUUGGAUGGCUUGAGAGAUGAGAUCUGUGUCCCGUAUCUGGACAACACCCUCGUCUUCAGCAAGAACUUUGAGAUCCAUGUCAACUAUUUUAGAAAAGUACUACAGAGACUAAGAGAAUAUGGGAAAAAGCUGAAGCCCAGCAAGUAUCUAUCCCCUGCCUUUCGACACAGUGAACCAUCAGAUCCUCCGCUCCACCCUCUCAGGGCUGGGUGUCUCAGGCUCUGCACACUCUUGGAUAACAUCCUACCUGGCAGGCCGCUCCUACCAGGAGUACAUAUAUAGUGCCAGGAGAACUGUCUGCUGAUGAGAAGGUGGCCUGGUUACAGGGUAAAUGGAAACAAGAUGUGGCGGCCCCGCACUCCUUUGAAGGUGUUCCACACCAUACCUCUGAAUCUGUGGAGGAGAAUUUAGACCUUUUCCAAGAAGGCCUGAUGAAAGAGUUACCCGGACGACUGACCCUCCUUCCAGAGAAACUUGGGUCAUCACAUGGCUGAGAUAGGACUCUGCCAAGGAGCUUCACAACAACCUACUCCACAUUUCACCCACAUCACUCCCUUGAACCAACACAUCUUUAGUAACUCAACAUAAGAUAUAUGGCAUGUGUGUUCCAAGAACAGAGAGAGAGUCUGGUCAAUCUCAAGUAAUGACACAGAGGAAAAUAUUAUUAAUUUCUAAGAUGGAUGGAUGUCAAUAAACCAGAUGCUUUUGUACAUGUAAUAUUGAACAGUAACCUUCCAUAAAACCAUAUAUUUCCUGGUAGACCUGAGUAAAAUAAGUUAAACCUUGAGAACUACUUGAGAACUCAAAAUGAUUCGUUAUGCCUCACAAUCAGGGGCGAAAAUCUGAUAUCCACUUUGGAGGGGACAAUUACAUGAAAUUUUCUCAAGAACAAUUCCUGAGGGGGACACCAAAAGUAGUGCUGUAACACAUAGCCUACAUUGUAAUAUGGUAAAUGUAUAUUGAGGAACCAAAGAAAUAAGGUGUUUGCCGUACUCCUAACUACCGGUACCCAAAACUACACAACUAAUCACAACAGCAAUACCAUUGCCUUUAACAAAUCUUAGUUCAGUCACCAGUUUAAGUUGAGAGUGGGGGUAUCCAUGGCAUUUUCCAAUUAUGUUCCUAUUUUACAAGUAAAAAAAAUUGAGAACCUUUCAUAAUGUUGCCAAACAAAGACUCAACAAACUUACCUGAGACUCCCUGUCUCUGCCAGUCUGUCCCUGCAUAUCUGUCCCCAACUCUGCUGUCUGUGUGCCAUCUGUUGCCUGCUCUGCCUAAUGACAUCAUUGUGAAACACAUUUACAUUUACAUUUAAGUCAUUUCCAUUAGAAUUUCAUUUCUUUCUUAUGAACAUUUUAUCAACUAGACUUUGAGAUAUUAGGCUACUAGGGUUCUUACUAUGCGUUUUGGUGUAUUGAAAAAUACCCUGAUGUCCGUCUUUUAUUUUUCUGCCAUUUUUCUACCUGGCUGGCUGGCUACACACACACACACAGUGUGUAGGUUAUUUACAGUAGGAGAUGGGCUUCUAUCAUCUUCAAACAUUCUAUAUGGGCUUCGAUCUAAAAGGUAGCUAGCAAAUGUGAAACGGAUUAAAAUGACAAGAGUUGACAGCUGUAUGAGUUCACCAUUUACACAACAUAUGCUGCAACCUUUCGUAAUUUUAACAGUUUGUUUCAUAUUGGCUGGCUUCCAACAAUAGCUGAAUUUGCAAAGCUAGUGAGCACCAAUUCAGUUUCAGUGGUGUUUGCUAUAAUCUUUGCUACCAGGGUUAAAUAAAAGUGAAAUAAAAUAAAUAAAUAAAAGUUCCCUUGCGACAAUUUAGCUUUUGCAACGAGACCAUUAAAUAUAUUUAAGACAAUGGUAGAAGAGAGUGUAGUUCUGUUCAGUUUGGACUUCAGUUUAUCGCUAACCUUAUCACAGGGACUUUGAAGCACUAACUUACAUCAUCUGCAUGCUGAUUCCAUCUUUGACGACGCCACAUAAAUGGAAUAGGUACUAGCUAGCUUAAUAGUUAAUAUUUGCGUGCUAGCUCUGCAUAUUCAGCUAGUGUGUGUGUGCGCGAUUGACUGGAUGAACCUCACGGCAGUUACGUAGCAAGCUAAGGAACUGGCAGUGGAUCAAACCAUUGUGAGGCAAAGGGCGGGGGGGUCGCAAUCUUUUGAAACUUAAAAACGCGCUAUUAAGUGUCUAUAAUCAGCACAAUUGCUUUCAUUGCGUAUUAUUAAUAUUAUUUAAAUUACAUAGUUAUGUUUCAGUGAUAUAUUGGGGGGGGAUAAAUCAUAUUUUUCCCAGGAUGGGGGGGUCGUGUCCCCCCCCGUCCCCCCCGGGAUUUCUGCCCCUGCUCACAAUUACCAUUAAAAUCAAAUCAUAUUUUAUUAAUCACAUAAUUCAUAAACAACAGGUGUAGACUAACAGUGGAAUUCUUACUUAUGGGCCCUUACCAACAAUGCAGAGAGAGAGAAAAUAGAGAAAUGAUAGCAAAGUUACAGCACAUAAUAAUCAAAGUAAUAAUAAAUUGUCACGUUGUCUAAUUAUUGGAGACAGGCGCAGGAAUACUAAUAGGUUUUUUUAUUUUCUCCAUCCAAACAGAAGAGCGAGGUGGAAACCUCUAAAUAAUACACGGGACGAGACCCGUAAAACAAGUGCACAAUAACAUGUAUCAUGGAAGCCAAUACAAUAGCACAGGUACUCACAGGACCAACGGAAAUGGGGAACAGAGGGCACAUAAACUCAGCAAAAAAAACCACCCCUUUUUCAGGACUCUGUCUUUCAAAGAUAAUUCGUAAAAAUCCAAAUAACUUCACAGAUCUUCAUUAUAAAGGGUUUAAACACUGUUUCCCAUGCCAGUUCUUUGAACCAUAAACAAUUAAUGAACAUGCACCUGUGGUCCUUAAGACUUAAGACGGUAGGCAAUUAAGGUCACGGUUGUGAAAACUUAGGACACUAAAGAGGCCUUUCUACGGACUCUGAAAAACACCAAAAGAAAGUUGCCCAGGGUCCCUGCUCAUCUGCCUGAACGUGCCUUUUGACCCUCCCUUUGUUCAGGGACACAUUAUUCAAUUUCUGUUAGUCACAUGUCUGUGGAACUUGUUC